RNAcentral lists this ribosomal RNA (463 nucleotides) under uncultured bacterium. RNAcentral describes it as "bacterial SSU rRNA". It matches the Rfam family "Bacterial small subunit ribosomal RNA", at positions 335 to 795 of the family's 1533-position model. The record is from RNAcentral.
ACUCCUACGGGAGGCAGCAGUGAGGAGUAUUGGUCAAUGGACGGAAGUCUGAACCAGCCAAGUCGCGUGAAGGAAGACGGUUCUAUGGAUUGUAAACUUCUUUUGUACAGGGGUAAAACGCUCUACGUGUAGAGCCUUGCAAGUACUGUACGAAUAAGCAUCGGCUAACUCCGUGCCAGCAGCCGCGGUAAUACGGAGGAUGCGAGCGUUAUCCGGAUUUAUUGGGUUUAAAGGGUGCGUAGGCGGUUUAUUAAGUCAGCGGUGAAAGUUUGAGGCUCAACCUUAAAAUUGCCGUUGAAACUGGUUAACUUGAGUGUAGAUGAAGUAGGCGGAAUUAGUGGUGUAGCGGUGAAAUGCAUAGAUAUCACUAGGAACUCCGAUUGCGAAGGCAGCUUACUAAGGUACAACUGACGCUGAUGCACGAAAGCGUGGGUAUCAAACAGGAUUAGAUACCCUGGUAGUC